Homarus americanus (American lobster) is the source of this 713-nucleotide long non-coding RNA. RefSeq lists it as uncharacterized. NCBI's taxonomy places the organism in Eukaryota, Metazoa, Arthropoda, Malacostraca, Decapoda, Nephropidae. The record is from RefSeq and is a predicted model, not a curated record. The transcript is spliced from 7 exons.
CACCAGCUGACAGCCCCGAAAAUAUCGGCCUGAGGCAUCGGAAGCUUCAAGGACCAACAACACAUCUCCACGGCAAGCUCAGACUCCGUUAACGGAGAAACGCCGCCGACCCAUGGGAGGCGAGACCGACGUCGUCACUUCGCGUCGCGUCGUCGGGCGUACGAGUCGAGUGCAUUAGAGUACUUGUAUUGAAAUGCACUUGUACACUAAUCCUAUAAAAGCACUUUCUCUAUCACUGCCUAAAGUGGACCUGAACCUUUGGACCUGAUGUGAACUAGAAUGAAGUUGGCUGGACCUCAAGUACUCUGUGGAAGCUUCAAGGACCAACAACACAUCUCGGUACGACAAGUGGAGACUCGACCGUACAGACCCGUCCGGUCUCACACACGACGCCGUUAACGGCAAACGGAGAAACGCCGCCGCCGACCCGCGGGAGGUACUUUCUCCAUCACUGCCAUAAGUGGACCUGAUGUGAACUAGAAUGAAGUUGGCUGGACCUGCAGUGAAGUGGACCUGAAGCUAACUGGACCUCAAGUAGUCUGUGGAAGCUUCAAGGACCAACAACACAUCUCGGUACGACAAGUGGAGACUCGACCGUACAGACCCGUCCGGUCUCGCAUACGACGCCGUUAACGGCAAACGGAGAAACGCCGCCGCCGACCCGCGGGAAGUACUUUCUCCAUCACUGCCUAAAGUGGACCUGAAAUUUUGGA